This is a long non-coding RNA of Mobula hypostoma (lesser devil ray), 475 nucleotides long. RefSeq lists it as uncharacterized. The record is from RefSeq and is a predicted model, not a curated record. Lineage: Eukaryota; Metazoa; Chordata; Chondrichthyes; Myliobatiformes; Myliobatidae. The transcript is spliced from 3 exons.
CCGGACUGGCGAGCUGAAUGUCAGCAACUCCAGUGAAGCGCACAGGGCAAAUAGGAAGCCGAGGGUCAGCAUGAUGACUACCGCCCGCAAAGGUGUGAGGGUGCAGGACAAUCCCUGGUCCUCUAUAAACUAAGGAGAACGCUGCUUGGGAAAUUGUGGAUGAAGGAUUAGGAAAGUACUCUGACCCUGAUGUCUCUAUGCCAGUUGUCCCAUAUGGGGAUUGAAGAUGCUUUGGAUCUCUCUGAGAACAGCCUGCAGGAGGAAUUCAGAGUUUGUAGGAUCGAACGUAGCCUAGCAAUUGCACCAGAAUCAAAAUAACUUACAAAAGUUCUUAACAAAAUUAAGAGAAGAAAACUCAGAGAUUAUCAAUCAAUCAUUAGAGCGGAGAAAGAUCUCCGAAGAUGAUGCUGAUAAGUGGUGACUCGUUGCCUGCAGCUCUGAUGCAAAUCAUCAAAUAUUCCUAUUUAGGACUACU